AUGCCCAAUGAUUAAGAAAAGACGCGUUAUUACGAGGACAGAAACUGGCACCUCCACCUGUCUCCCAUCUCCUCCUUCCUCCUUUACCUGUCUUCCUCUCCCUUCCCCCAAUCUUUACCGCUUUCUCCUUCUUCUGGAGUAUCCAGUGUCCUUUGAGAAAGAUUAUGAGAUAUGAGGGGCAU
Hyla sarda is the source of this 182-nucleotide small nucleolar RNA. RefSeq annotates it as small nucleolar RNA SNORD97. The transcript has a single exon. The record is from RefSeq and is a predicted model, not a curated record. Lineage: Eukaryota; Metazoa; Chordata; Amphibia; Anura; Hylidae.